Molecule: non-coding RNA, 1083 nt
Organism: Rattus norvegicus (Norway rat)
Lineage: Eukaryota; Metazoa; Chordata; Mammalia; Rodentia; Muridae
Source: the annotation of a RefSeq genome assembly
CCUCUCAUUACAAGCCAGAGACAAAAGCUAGCUCUUCUUUCUGCCUUCACUAUUCAGUAUUCUUCAUAUCAAGUGUUCAGAAUGAAGUUUGGUGCUCAGUUUCUUGGGCUGAUAGUGCUCUGGAUUCCUGGAGCAACUGGGGAUAUUGUGAUGACUCAAGCUCCACUCUCUGUAUCUGUCACUCCUGGAGAGUCAGCUUCCAUCUCCUGCAGAUCUAGUAAGAGUCUGCUAAGUAGUAAGGGCAUCACUUCCUUGUAUUGGUACCUUCAGAGGCCAGGAAAGUCUCCUCAGCUCCUGAUAUAUCGGAUGUCCAACCUUGCCUCAGGAGUUCCAGACAGGUUUAGUGGCAGUGGGUCAGAAACCGAUUUUACACUGAAAAUCAGUAGGGUGGAGGCUGAGGAUGUUGGUGUUUAUUACUGUGGACAUCGUCUAGAAUAUCCUCCCACAGUGUUACAGCCUUGAACAAAAACACCAUGCUUGAGGUGACAUAACUGCCUCAUAAACUGCUUGUAUCAGCUGUAGCAUGGUAUAACUGGCGUGACAAAGUGAACAUAUAUUUUAAGGAGACACUUAUUUACCUCUGACUCAGCUAUUGACACAAUGGACCUUGGAAAUUCGAACUUCCAUGAGAGUUUCGUGCUCUGAGGAGCAGAAGCAGUAACUUCUCUGCGGGGACAAGAUUUCAUAGUGUCUUAUCUGACAAAGUUCAGUCAGUUAUAUCAAUGAUAGGUAGGACCAAACCUUGAACAGCACUUCUACAGUGUUCAUCUCUUUGAAUUUCCGUUUCAUAUUUAAUCUCAUUUCAGAACUACAUGAGACUCAGAUAGUUAUUUAAAUGUAUUUGUUUCAUUGGUCAAUUUUAUUUUUCUGGUUUUUAAUUCCAGUUUGGAUUACUGAGGGCAGGUUGCUAGUCUAGACAUGGGACAUAAUGUGUAUAUUAUGGAGAUUCUUUGAGACUUUAUAAAAGGUAGAUGUUGAAAGAUCCAAGAUAAUGAGUAGUUGAUUAAUUGCACAGAGAGAAAAAGAGGGAGAGAGAGAGAGAGAGAGAGAGAGAGAGAGAGAGAGAGAGAGAGAGAGAGAAAG